GUCGAACGCGCAGCAUUCUGUAGCAAUACAGGGUGUGGGCGCGUGGCGAACGGGUGCGUAACACGUGGAUAACCUUCCUUGAGGUGGGGAAUAACCCAGUGAAAAUUGGGCUAAUACCGCAUAACACAGCGAUGGCACAUGCUGAUGCUGUCAAAGGCGCAAGUCGCCACAAGAGGGAUCCGCGGCCGAUUAGCUUGUUGGCGAGGUAAUGGCUCACCAAGGCAAUGAUCGGUAGCCGGACUGAGAGGUUGGCCGGCCACACUGGAACUGAGACACGGUCCAGACUCCUACGGGAGGCAGCAGUGGGGAAUCUUGCACAAUGGACGAAAGUCUGAUGCAGCAACGCCGCGUGGGGGAUGAAGCUUCUCGGAGUGUAAACCCCUUUCGACCCGGAAGAAUGCCCGCAAGGGUAUGACGGUACGGGUAUAAGAAGCCCCGGCUAACUACGUGCCAGCAGCCGCGGUAAUACGUAGGGGGCCAGCGUUGCUCGGAAUUACUGGGCGUAAAGGGUCCGUAGGCGGUGUAGCAAGUCGAUAGUGAAAUCUCUGCGCUUAACGCAGAGGCUGCUAACGAAACUGCUGUGCUAGAGUGUGAGAGAGGCGAGUGGAAUUACGGGUGUAGCGGUGAAAUGCGUAGAUAUCCGUAGGAACAUCCGAGGCGAAGGCGGCUCGCUGGAUCACAACUGACGCUGAGGGACGAAAGCUAGGGGAGCAAACAGGAUUAGAUACCCUG
Molecule: ribosomal RNA, 732 nt
Filed under: uncultured Acidobacteriota bacterium
Lineage: Bacteria; Pseudomonadati; Acidobacteriota
Description: bacterial SSU rRNA
Rfam family: Bacterial small subunit ribosomal RNA
Source: RNAcentral